AGGCUUGGGGGUAUUUCCAAUGACGUGCUUGGAGCUGGAGUUGAACCAGCGACCUUAGGAUCACAGCGUUUCACACAAGGAGCAUCUUACAGUCCACCGGUCUACCAACUGAGCUAUCAAGGUGCUCUCUAGUCACAAGUGCAGAAAACAUAGUGGCUUCGAAGACACACUAUGCCCACAGAACUAUUCCAACCCAUGGUCAAUGAAAAGCCCAGCCCUACCUGCAGAACAAAGCUUUGCAGUUUGUACCCAACAGUCAUUGCCAGGGACCCAGAACUGAUAAUCAGGACUUUUAGGCUGGGUGAAUAAAAAAUUGAUGGUUGAAAAUUUAAGAAAGAGUUAACUUGUUUGUGUUUUGACAUUUUGGAGGAGUUGACAGAUAAAGACAAGGCUUGGGGGUAUUUCCAAUGACGUGCUUGGAGCUGGAGUUGAACCAGCGACCUUAGGAUCACAGCGUUUCACACAAGGAGCAUCUUACAGUCCACCGCUCUACCAACUGAGCUAUCAAGGUGCUCUAUAGUCACAAGUGCAGACAACAUAGUGGCUUCGAAGACACACUAUGCCCACAGAACUAUUCCAACCCAUGGUCAAUGAAAAGCCCAGCCCUACCUGCAGAACAAAGCUUUGCAGUUUGUACCCAACAGUCAUUGCCAGGGACCCAGAACUGAUAAUCAGGACUUUUAGGCUGGGUGAAUAAAAAAUUGAUGGUUGAAAAUUUAAGAAAGAGUUAUCUUGUUUGUGUUUUGACAUUUUGGAGGAGUUGACAGAUAAAGACAAGGCUUGGGGGUAUUUCCAAUGACAAGGAGGUGCUUGGAGCUGGAGUUGAACCAGCGACCUUAGGAUCACAGCGUUUCACACAAGGAGCAUCUUACAGUCCACCGCUCUACAAACUGAGCUAUCAAGGAGCUCUCUAGUCGCAAGUGCAGAAAACAUAGUGGCUUCGAAGACACACUAUGCCCACAGAACUAUUCCAACCCAUGGUCAAUGAAAAGCCCAGCCCUACCUGCAGAACAAAGCUUUGCAGUUUGUACCCAACAGUCAUUGCCAGGGACCCAGAACUGAUAAUCAGGACUUUUAGGCUGGGUGAAUAAAAAAUUGAUGGUUGAAAAUUUACGAAAGAGUUAUCUUGUUUGUGUUUUGACAUUUUGGAGGAGUUGACAGAUAAAGACAAGGCUUGGGGGUAUUUCCAAUGACAAGGAGGUGCUUGGAGCUGGAGUUGAACCAGCGACCUUAGGAUCACAGCGUUUCACACAAGGAGCAUCUUACAGUCCACCGCUGUACCAACUGAGCUAUCAAGGUGCUCGCUAGUCACAAAUGCAGAAAACAUAGUGGCUUCGAAGACACACUAUGCCCACAGAACUAUUCCAACCCAUGGUCAAUGAAAAGCCCAGCCCUACCUGCAGAACAAAGCUUUGCAGUUUGUACCCAACAGUCAUUGCCAGGGACCCAGAACUGAUAAUCAGGACUUUUAGGCUGAGUGAAUAAAAAAUUGAUGGUUGAAAAUUUAAGAAAGAGUUAUCUUGUUUGUGUUUUGACAGAUAAAGACAAGGCUUGGGGGUAUUUCCAAUGACGUGCUUGGAGCUGGAGUUGAACCAGCGACCUUAGGAUCACAGGGUUUCACACAAGGAGCAUCUUACAGUCCACCGCUCUACCGACUGAGCUAUCAAGGUGCUCUCUAGUCACAAGUGCAGAAAACAUAGUGGCUUCGAAGACACACUAUGCCCACAGAACUAUUCCAACCCAUGGUCAAUGAAAAGCCCAGCCCUACCUGCAGAACAAAGCUUUGCAGUUUGUACCCAACAGUCAUUGCCAGGGACCCAGAACUGAUAAUCAGGACUUUUAGGCUGGGUGAAUAAAAAAUUGAUGGUUGAAAAUUUACGAAAGAGUUAUCUUGUUUGUGUUUUGACAUUUUGGAGGAGUUGACAGAUAAAGACAAGGCUUGGGGGUAUUUCCAAUGACAAGGAGGUGCUUGGAGCUGGAGUUGAACCAGCGACCUUAGGAUCACAGCGUUUCACACAAGGAGCAUCUUACAGUCCACCGCUCUACCAACUGAGCUAUCAAGGUGCUCUCUAGUCACAAGUGCAGAAAACAUAGUGGCUUCGAAGACACACUAUGCCCACAGAACUAUUCCAACCCAUGGUCAAUGAAAAGCCCAGCCCUACCUGCAGAACAAAGCUUUGCAGUUUGUACCCAACAGUCAUUGCCAGGGACCCAGAACUGAUAAUCAGGACUUUUAGGCUGGGUGAAUAAAAAAUUGAUGGUUGAAAAUUUACGAAAGAGUUAACUUGUUUGUGUUUUGACAUUUUGGAGGAGUUGACAGAUAAAGACAAGGCUUGGGGGUAUUUCCAAUGACAAGGAGGUGCUUGGAGCUGGAGUUAAACCAGCGGCCUUAGGAUCACAGCGUUUCACACAAGGAGCAUCUUACAGUCCACCGCUCUACCAACUGAGCUAUCAAGGUGCUCUCUAGUCACAAGUGCAGAAAACAUAGUGGCUUCGAAGACACACUAUGCCCACAGAACUAUUCCAACCCAUGGUCAAUGAAAAGCCCAGCCCUACCUGCAGAACAAAGCUUUGCAGUUUGUACCCAACAGUCAUUGCCAGGGACCCAGAACUGAUAAUCAGGACUUUUAGGCUGGGUGAAUAAAAAAUUGAUGGUUGAAAAUUUAAGAAAGAGUUAUCUUGUUUGUGUUUUGACAUUUUGGAGGAGUUGACAGAUAAAGACAAGGCUUGGGGGUAUUUCCAAUGACGUGCUUGGAGCUGGAGUUGAACCAGCGGCCUUAGAAUCACAGCGUUUUACACAAGGAGCAUCUUACAGUCCACAGCUCUACCAACUGAGCUAUCAAGGUGCUCUCUAGUCACAAGUGCAGACAACAUAGUGGCUUCGAAGACACACUAUGCCCACAGAACUAUUCCAACCCAUGGUCAAUGAAAAGCCCAGCCCUACCUGCAGAACAAAGCUUUGCAGUUUGUACCCAACAGUCAUUGCCAGGGACCCAGAACUGAUAAUCAGGACUUUUAGGCUGGGUGAAUAAAAAAUUGAUGGUUGAAAAUUUAAGAAAGAGUUAUCUUGUUUGUGUUUUGACAUUUUGGAGGAGUUGACAGAUAAAGACAAGGCUUGGGGGUAUUUCCAAUGACAAGGAGGCGCUUGGAGCUGGAGUUGAACCAGCGACCUUAGGAUCACAGCGUUUCACACAAGGAGCAUCUUACAGUCCACCGCUCUACCAACUGAGCUAUCAAGGUGCUCUCUAGUCACAAGUGCAGAAAACAUAGUGGCUUCGAAGACACACUAUGCCCACAGAACUAUUCCAACCCAUGGUCAAUGAAAAGCCCAGCCCUACCUGCAGAACAAAGCUUUGCAGUUUGUACCCAACAGUCAUUGCCAGGGACCCAGAACUGAUAAUCAGGACUUUUAGGCUGGGUGAAUAAAAAAUUGAUGGUUGAAAAUUUAAGAAAGAGUUAUCUUGUUUGUGUUUUGACAUUUUGGAGGAGUUGACAGAUAAAGACAAGGCUUGGGGGUAUUUCCAAUGACAAGGAGGUGCUUGGAGCUGGAGUUGAACCAGCGACCUUAGGAUCACAGCGUUUCACACAAGGAGCAUCUUACAGUCCACCGCUCUACCAACCGAGCUAUCAAGGUGCUCUCUAGUCACAAGUGCAGAAAACAUAGUGGCUUCGAAGACACACUAUGCCCACAGAACUAUUCCAACCCAUGGUCAAUGAAAAGCCCAGCCCUACCUGCAGAACAAAGCUUUGCAGUUUGUACCCAACAGUCAUUGCCAGGGACCCAGAACUGAUAAUCAGGACUUUUAGGCUGGGUGAAUAAAAAAUUGAUGGUUGAAAAUUUAAGAAAGAGUUAUCUUGUUUGUGUUUUGACAUUUUGGAGGAGUUGACAGAUAAAGACAAGGCUUGGGGGUAUUUCCAAUGACAAGGAAGUGCUUGGAGCUGGAGUUGAACCAGCGACCUUAGGAUCACAGCGUUUCACACAAGGAGCAUCUUACAGUCCACCGCUCUACCAACUGAGCUAUCAAGGUGCUCUCUAGUCACAAGUGCAGAAAACAUAGUGGCUUCGAAGACACACUAUGCCCACAGAACUAUUCCAACCCAUGGUCAAUGAAAAGCCCAGCCCUACCUGCAGAACAAAGCUUUGCAGUUUGUACCCAACAGUCAUUGCCAGGGACCCAGAACUGAUAAUCAGGACUUUUAGGCUGGGUGAAUAAAAAAUUGAUGGUUGAAAAUUUAAGAAAGAGUUAUCUUGUUUGUGUUUUGACAUUUUGGAGGAGUUGACAGAUAAAGACAAGGCUUGGGGGUAUUUCCAAUGACAAGGAGGUGGUUGGAGCUGGAGUUGAACCAGCAACCUUAGGAUCACAGCGUUUCACACAAGGAGCCUCUUGCAGUCCACCGCUCUGCCAACUGAGCUAUCAAGGUGCUCUAUAGUCACAAGUGCAGAAAACAUAGUGGCUUCUAAGACACACUAUGCCCACAGAACUAUUCCAACCCAUGGUCAAUGAAAAGCCCAGCCCUACCUGCAGAACAAAGCUUUGCAGUUUGUACCCAACAGUCAUUGCCAGGGACCCAGAACGGAUAAUCAGGACUUUUAGGCUGGGUGAAUAAAAAAUUGAUGGUUGAAAAUUUAAGAAAGAGUUAUCUUGUUUGUGUUUUGACAUUUUGGAGGAGUUGACAGAUAAAGACAAGGCCUGGGGGUAUUUCCAAUGACAAGGAGGUGCUUGGAGCUGGAGUUGAACCAGCGACCUUAGGAUCACAGCGUUUCACACAAGGAGCAUCUUACAGUCCACCGCUCUACCAACUGAGCUAUCAAGGUGCUCAAUAGUCACAAGUGCAGAAAACAUAGUGGCUUCGAAGACACACUAUGCCCACAGAACUAUUCCAACCCAUGGUCAAUGAAAAGCCCAGCCCUACCUGCAGAACAAAGCUUUGCAGUUUGUACCCAACAGUCAUUGCCAGGGACCCAGAACUGAUAAUCAGGACUUUUAGGCUGGGUGAAUAAAAAAUUGAUGGUUGAAAAUUUAAGAAAGAGUUAUCUUGUUUGUGUUUUGACAUUUUGGAGGAGUUGACAGAUAAAGACAAGGCUUGGGGGUAUUUCCAAUGACGUGCUUGGAGCUGGAGUUGAACCAGCGACCUUUAGGAUCACAGCGUUUCACACAAGGAGCCUCUUGCAGUCCACCGCUCUACCAACUGAGCUAUCAAGGUGCUCUAUAGUCACAAGUGCAGAAAACAUAGUGGCUUCUAAGACACACUAUGCCCACAGAACUAUUCCAACCCAUGGUCAAUGAAAAGCCCAGCCCUACCUGCAGAACAAAGCUUUGCAGUUUGUACCCAACAGUCAUUGCCAGGGACCCAGAACGGAUAAUCAGGACUUUUAGGCUGGGUGAAUAAAAAAUUGAUGGUUGAAAAUUUAAGAAAGAGUUAUCUUGUUUGUGUUUUGACAUUUUGGAGGAGUUGACAGAUAAAGACAAGGCCUGGGGGUAUUUCCAAUGACAAGGAGGUGCUUGGAGCUGGAGUUGAACCAGCGACCUUAGGAUCACAGCGUUUCACACAAGGAGCAUCUUACAGUCCACCGCUCUACCAACUGAGCUAUCAAGGUGCUCAAUAGUCACAAGUGCAGAAAACAUAGUGGCUUCGAAGACACACUAUGCCCACAGAACUAUUCCAACCCAUGGUCAAUGAAAAGCCCAGCCCUACCUGCAGAACAAAGCUUUGCAGUUUGUACCCAACAGUCAUUGCCAGGGACCCAGAACUGAUAAUCAGGACUUUUAGGCUGGGUGAAUAAAAAAUUGAUGGUUGAAAAUUUAAGAAAGAGUUAUCUUGUUUGUGUUUUGACAUUUUGGAGGAGUUGACAGAUAAAGACAAGGCUUGGGGGUAUUUCCAAUGACGUGCUUGGAGCUGGAGUUGAACCAGCGACCUUAGGAUCACAGCGUUUGACACAAGGAGCAACUUACAGUCCACCGCUCUACCAACUGAGCUAUCAAGGUGCUCUCUAGUCACAAGUGCAGAAAACAUAGUGGCUUCGAAGACACACUAUGCCCACAGAACUAUUCCAACCCAUGGUCAAUGAAAAGCCCAGCCCUACCUGCAGAACAAAGCUUUGCAGUUUGUACCCAACAGUCAUUGCCAGGGACCCAGAACUGAUAAUCAGGACUUUUAGGCUGGGUGAAUAAAAAAUUGAUGGUUGAAAAUUUAAGAAAGAGUUAUCUUGUUUGUGUUUUGACAUUUUGGAGGAGUUGACAGAUAAAGACAAGGCUUGGGGGUAUUUCCAAUGACGUGCUUGGAGCUGGAGUUGAACCAGCGACCUUAGGAUCACAGCGUUUCACACAAGGAGCAACUUACAGUCCACCGCUCUACCAACUGAGCUAUCAAAGUGCUCUAUAGUCACAAGUGCAGAAAACAUAGUGGCUUCGAAGACACACUAUGCCCACAGAACUAUUCCAACCCAUGGUCAAUGAAAAGCCCAGCCCUACCUGCAGAACAAAGCUUUGCAGUUUGUACCAAACAGUCAUUGCCAGGGACCCAGAACUGAUAAUCAGGACUUUUAGGCUGGGUGAAUAAAAAAUUGAUGGUUGAAAAUUUAAGAAAGAGUUAUCUUGUUUGUGUUUUGACAUUUUGGAGGAGUUGACAGAUAAAGACAAGGCUUGGGGGUAUUUCCAAUGACAAGGAGGUGCUUGGAGAUGGAGUUGAACCAGCGACCUUAGGUUCACAGCGUUUCACACAAGGAGCAUCUUACAGUCCACCGCUCUACCAACUGAGCUAUCAAGGUGCUCUCUAGUCACAAGUGCAGAAAACAUAGUGGCUUCGAAGACACACUAUGCCCACAGAACUAUUCCAACCCAUGGUCAAUGAAAAGCCCAGCCCUACCUGCAGAACAAAGCUUUGCAGUUUGUACCCAACAGUCAUUGCCAGGGACCCAGAACUGAUAAUCAGGACUUUUAGGCUGGGUGAAUAAAAAAUUGAUGGUUGAAAAUUUACGAAAGAGUUAUCUUGUUUGUGUUUUGACAUUUUGGAGGAGUUGACAGAUAAAGACAAGGCUUGGGGGUAUUUCCAAUGACAAGGAGGUGCUUGGAGCUGGAGUUGAACCAGCGACCUUAGGAUCACAGCGUUUCACACAAGGAGCAUCUUACAGUCCACCGCUCUACCAACUGAGCUAUCAAGGUGCUCUCUAGUCACAAGUGCAGAAAACAUAGUGGCUUCGAAGACACACUAUGCCCACAGAACUAUUCCAACCCAUGGUCAAUGAAAAGCCCAGCCCUACCUGCAGAACAAAGCUUUGCAGUUUGUACCCAACAGUCAUUGCCAGGGACCCAGAACUGAUAAUCAGGACUUUUAGGCUGGGUGAAUAAAAAAUUGAUGGUUGAAAAUUUAAGAAAGAGUUAUCUUGUUUGUGUUUUGACAUUUUGGAGGAGUUGACAGAUAAAGACAAGGCUUGGGGGUAUUUCCAAUGACAAGGAGGUGCUUGGAGCUGGAGUUGAACCAGCGACCUUAGGAUCACAGCGUUUCACACAAGGAGCAUCUUACAGUCCACCGCUCUACCAACUGAGCUAUCAAGGUGCUCUCUAGUCACAAGUGCAGAAAACAUAGUGGCUUCGAAGACACACUAUGCCCACAGAACUAUUCCAACCCAUGGUCAAUGAAAAGCCCAGCCCUACCUGCAGAACAAAGCUUUGCAGUUUGUACCCAACAGUCAUUGCCAGGGACCCAGAACUGAUAAUCAGGACUUUUAGGCUGGGUGAAUAAAAAAUUGAUGGUUGAAAAUUUUAAGAAAGAGUUAUCUUGUUUGUGUUUUGACAUUUUGGAGGAGUUGACAGAUAAAGACAAGGCUUGGGGGUAUUUCCAAUGACAAGGAGGUGCUUGGAGCUGGAGUUGAACCAGCGACCUUAGGAUCACAGCGUUUUCACACAAGGAGCAUCUUACAGUCCACCGCUCUACCAACUGAGCUAUCAAGGUGCUCUCUAGUCACAAGUGCAGAAAACAUAGUGGCUUCAAAGACACACUAUGCCCACAGAACUAUUCCAACCCAUGGUCAAUGAAAAGCCCAGCCCUACCUGCAGAACAAAGCUUUGCAGUUUGUACCCAACAGUCAUUGCCAGGGACCCAGAACUGAUAAUCAGGACUUUUAGGCUGGGUGAAUAAAAAAUUGAUGGUUGAAAAUUUAAGAAAGAGUUAUCUUGUUUGUGUUUUGACAUUUUGGAGGAGUUGACAGAUAAAGACAAGGCUUGGGGGUAUUUCCAAUGACAAGGAGGUGCUUGGAGCUGGAGUUGAACCAGCGACCUUAGGAUCACAGCGUUUCACACAAGGAGCAUCUUACAGUCCACCGCUCUACCAACUGAGCUAUCAAGGUGCUCUCUAGUCACAAGUGCAGAAAACAUAGUGGCUUCGAAGACACACUAUGCCCACAGAACUAUUCCAACCCAUGGUCAAUGAAAAGCCCAGCCCUACCUGCAGAACAAAGCUUUGCAGUUUGUACCCAACAGUCAUUGCCAGGGACCCAGAACUGAUAAUCAGGACUUUUAGGCUGGGUGAAUAAAAAAUUGAUGGUUGAAAAUUUAAGAAAGAGUUAUCUUGUUUGUGUUUUGACAUUUUGGAGGAGUUGACAGAUAAAGACAAGGCUUGGGGGUAUUUCCAAUGAUGUGCUUGGAGCUGGAGUUGAACCAGCGGCCUUAGAAUCACAGCGUUUUACACAAGGAGCAUCUUACAGUCCACAGCUCUACCAACUGAGCUAUCAAGGUGCUCUCUAGUCACAAGUGCAGACAACAUAGUGGCUUCGAAGACACACUAUGCCCACAGAACUAUUCCAACCCAUGGUCAAUGAAAAGCCCAGCCCUACCUGCAGAACAAAGC
RNAcentral lists this long non-coding RNA (8847 nucleotides) under Xyrichtys novacula (pearly razorfish). Lineage: Eukaryota; Metazoa; Chordata; Actinopteri; Labriformes; Labridae. The record is from RNAcentral.